Syzygium oleosum is the source of this 234-nucleotide long non-coding RNA. RefSeq lists it as uncharacterized. The transcript has 3 exons. NCBI's taxonomy places the organism in Eukaryota, Viridiplantae, Streptophyta, Magnoliopsida, Myrtales, Myrtaceae. The record is from RefSeq and is a predicted model, not a curated record.
AAAGAAGAUGGACCACAAGUCCCACCAAGUGACAAACUUUUUGAAUACAUAUUGUUCCGAGGAAGUGACAUCAAGGAUUUGCAGGUUAAAUCCUCUCCACCUGUUCAGCCUGCACCUGCACCCCCCAUCGAUAAUGACCCAGCAAUCAUACAGUCUCACUACCCUCGUCCGGUCUCAACCUCUACAAGUUUGCCUCCCGCUGCUAGUGGACCCUCAACCGAUAUCGGCUCCAAC